GACGAACGCUGGCGGCGUGCUUAACACAUGCGAGUCGUACGGUAAGGCCCUUUCGGGGGUACACGAGUGGCGAACGGGUGAGUAACACGUGAGUAACCUGCCCACAACUUUGGGAUAACGCUAGGAAACUGGUGCUAAUACUGGAUAUGUGCUCCUGCUGCAUGGGGGGGGUUGGAAAGCUCCGGCGGUUGUGGAUGGACUCGCGGCCUAUCGGCUUGUUGGUGGGGUAGUGGCCUACCAAGGCGGCGACGGGUAGCCGGCCUGAGAGGGUGACCGGCCACCUUGGGACUGAGAUGCGGCCCAGACUCCUACGGGAGGCAGAAGUGGGGAAUAUUGCACAAUGGGCGCAAGCCUGAUGCAGCAGCGCCGCGUGCGGGAUAACGGCCUUCGGGUUGUAAACCGCUUUCAGCAGGGACGAAGCUUUUUGUGACGGUACCUGCAGAAGAAGCACCGGCUAACUACGUG
Molecule: ribosomal RNA, 465 nt
Filed under: uncultured bacterium
Lineage: Bacteria
Description: partial 16S ribosomal RNA
Rfam family: Bacterial small subunit ribosomal RNA
Source: RNAcentral